GAUGAAGAACGUAGCGAAAUGCGAUAAGUAGUGUGAAUUGCAGAAUUGAGUGAAUCAUCGAAUCUUUGAACGCACAUUGCGCCCUUUGGUAUUCCAAAGGGCAUGCCUGUUCGAGCGUCAUUUGUACCCUCAAGCUUUGCUUGGUGUUGGGCGUCUUGUCUCUAGCUUUGCUGGAGACUCGCCUUAAAGUAAUUGGCAGCCGGCCUACUGGUUUCGGAGCGCAGCACAAGUCGCACUCUCUAUCAGCAAAGGUCUAGCAUCCAUUAAGCCUUUUUUUCAACUUUUGACCUCGGAUCAGGUAGGGAUACCCGCUGAACUUAAGCAUAUCAAUAAGCGGAGGA
This 341-nucleotide unclassified non-coding RNA is filed under the name soil metagenome. RNAcentral describes it as "partial contains 5.8S ribosomal RNA, internal transcribed spacer 2, and large subunit ribosomal RNA". The stretch from base 1 to 120 matches the Rfam family "5.8S ribosomal RNA", at positions 35 to 154 of the family's 154-position model. The record is from RNAcentral.